UUAGGGGUGCCGUAAGGCUGAGAUUAUACCCUUGGAACCUGAUGCGGUUAGUACCGCCGUAGGGAGAGCAGAGAAC
This 76-nucleotide non-coding RNA is filed under the name bovine gut metagenome. RNAcentral describes it as "TPP riboswitch (THI element)". The stretch from base 1 to 67 matches the Rfam family "TPP riboswitch aptamer (THI element)", at positions 9 to 90 of the family's 105-position model. From Rfam's summary of the family: Vitamin B(1) in its active form thiamin pyrophosphate (TPP) is an essential coenzyme that is synthesised by coupling of pyrimidine and thiazole moieties in bacteria. The previously detected thiamin-regulatory element, thi box was extended, resulting in a new, highly conserved RNA secondary structure, the THI element, which is widely distributed in eubacteria and also occurs in some archaea. Analysis of operon structures identified a large number of new candidate thiamin-regulated genes, mostly transporters, in various prokaryotic organisms. The record is from RNAcentral.